GCCUCCAAGGGAAAAGGCUGAUUUGGAACAACACAGAGCUGGGUCUUCCUGGGCUUCUCAUCUUGGCUGUGCCCUGAGGAUCUGCUGCUCCUCUCCCAUCCUUCUGCAACUUUCCUGCUGGACAUGCUGAGACUUUUCCCUCUGGAAAGAGCCCCCUGGAGAUGACUCACCACACUCCCCCUGCCCUGUGAGACAGGAGAGCUGGUGUGGCCACUGUGGGAAGCCAAGAAGCAGCAGCCGAAGCAGAGCUGUUCUGAAAUAAGUGCUUAGGAAUGCUCUGACCUCUUGCUUCACCAAUGCACCAUUUUUUUCCCUUUCUUUUUAUUUGUAUGGUUGUUGUUUUGUUUUGUUUUGUUUUCCAGAGAGAACACUAAAAGAUCUGUUUGUACAUAACUUUAAUCUGCAUGCACACACACGGAUUUAGCCUGGGCCAGGGGAAAAGAAAGGGGAUCACAGCUCUGCCAGUUGCUCUUCCUCAUAAUGGCAACCUGUGAUCCCAGCUUGUGCUGCACAGAUGACUAAAGAACAUAAAGAUCUCUGUCUCUCUGCAGUCUGGAAGCAGAUAAAUAAGCAUGAAAGUAGAUCUGUUGGUGAAAGCUCUUGAGAGGUAAAAAAGACAGAGAGAAAAUGAGGAUUUCUGCACAAGUGUACGAUGACAAAGGACAAAAAGGAAGGGAAGAUUGAGUGACGUACUUCAGGAGAAGGCCAGCCCCUGGAGAGACCCUGCAGUGGAGUACUUGCUAGAGUCCACAAAAGACUGGUCUGAUAAAGGACGACAACAGGGAAUAAGAGAGGAAAGAAAGAAAAAGGACGGCAUUAGUAAGCUGAAAUAUUACUUGUGUUUAUCAAAACAGCAGGUCUUUAAAAGACACAGCCUCUCAAUUCAGCAGUAUCAGCUGGGUUAGAGAUAGGGUGGCUGCCAAACACCUGCAGGGCACGAGGCGGGCUGGGGCUGGAGUCCAGUUGCUCUGUCCAGGAGGAACGUCAGGACAGAGCCCAGCAGGGCUGCCCCAGCUCGGUGUGGCUGGGAGCCCGGGGCUCAGAGCUGCUCUGGGGUG
This is a long non-coding RNA of Prinia subflava (tawny-flanked prinia), 1058 nucleotides long. RefSeq lists it as uncharacterized. The record is from RefSeq and is a predicted model, not a curated record. The transcript has 4 exons. Lineage: Eukaryota; Metazoa; Chordata; Aves; Passeriformes; Cisticolidae.